GACGAACGCUGGCGGCGUGCCUAAUACAUGCAAGUUGAGCGCUGAAGGUUGGUACUUGUACCAACUGGAUGAGCAGCGAACGGGUGAGUAACGCGUGGGGAAUCUGCCUUUGAGCGGGGGACAACAUUUGGAAACGAAUGCUAAUACCGCAUAAAAACUUUAAACACAAGUUUUAAGUUUGAAAGAUGCAAUUGCAUCACUCAAAGAUGAUCCCGCGUUGUAUUAGCUAGUUGGUGAGGUAAAGGCUCACCAAGGCGAUGAUACAUAGCCGACCUGAGAGGGUGAUCGGCCACAUUGGGACUGAGACACGGCCCAAACUCCUACGGGAGGCAGCAGUAGGGAAUCUUCGGCAAUGGACGAAAGUCUGACCGAGCAACGCCGCGUGAGUGAAGAAGGUUUUCGGAUCGUAAAACUCUGUUGGUAGAGAAGAACGUUGGUGAGAGUGGAAAGCUCAUCAAGUGACGGUAACUACCCAGAAAGGGACGGCUAACUCCGUG
Molecule: ribosomal RNA, 497 nt
Filed under: uncultured bacterium
Lineage: Bacteria
Description: partial 16S ribosomal RNA
Rfam family: Bacterial small subunit ribosomal RNA
Source: RNAcentral